This 163-nucleotide ribosomal RNA is filed under the name Phaeomarasmius sp. RNAcentral's name for it is "partial small subunit ribosomal RNA". It matches the Rfam family "Eukaryotic small subunit ribosomal RNA", at positions 1639 to 1799 of the family's 1831-position model. The record is from RNAcentral. Lineage: Eukaryota; Fungi; Basidiomycota; Agaricomycetes; Agaricales; Tubariaceae.
CGUGGAUUACGUCCCUGCCCUUUGUACACACCGCCCGUCGCUACUACCGAUUGAAUGGCUUAGUGAGGUCUUCGAAUUGGCUUUGGGGAGGCGGCGACGGCACUCUAGUGCUGAGAAGUUGAUCAAACUUGGUCAUUUAGAGGAAGUAAAAGUCGUAACAAGG